UUCAAGACUCGAUCGCUGUCGUCACAGCCUCGACUCCCCUCCCUACCAAUUCUUUCACUUACUUUGAACGAAGUGGCCGGGGAUCGUUGUGGAAUUGGUCAAGGCAAGCUUCGUAUGCUUCGGAUUCGUUUCUUUUGGCGGAUUUUUUGGGUGUUCUUAGGGUUGUAGGUCGACUCUUUGUUUCGAUCUCUUCGUAUGUAUUUCUUUCUCCGGUUUCUUGGUGACUCAGAACGCGUCUUUCUUGCGAAUAGAUUGAUUCUUGGGUAAUCAUUUAUGGCGGAUGUGUGGAGCCUUCGAUUGGGCGGGUUAGGGUUUUGGGAAGGAUUACAUAAUCAUUUAAGAAUUAUUUCUCGGCGAAUUUGGCCUCAUGAGAAUUGUUAGGGGAAUGCGAAAAUUGGUCUGCGGUGAGGAAGGCGUGCUGGAGAAUAAGGCAUCGAUCGGCUGGGGAAAUGCUGUCACUUCUUCCAUGGUCAUAAAUCGAGAUAAAGGAUGCUUCAGGCUCUGAACCUUUGAAUGGAAACAAGGACUGUCAUCCUGAUUCGAUUGCAAGGGAGGAGUAGGCGGAGGUUAUCGUCUCUAGGAGAUUGAAGUGAAUGAAGCUGUUCUCCAGUUCACAAGUCUAAGUUUCUAUGUAGCUCGAAAAGUGAGCCUUCAGUGGAUGGGUUUGGCAUUUCAUCUAAAGGAGAUCUUUUCAUUAUUUUGUUACUGCUUUUUUCCAUAUAACUUUCUGGGAUAAUUUGAUGCCCUUUGAAUGACAUGAUUGCUGAUGCUGAUGGUUCCUCUAAAUAAUAGAUGAAACACUGUUUCCUGUGCAUCAAUAUAUUUCUUUGAUGUCAUUUCACAACUCAUUAGAUACAUCACUUUUUUAGGUGGUUCCUAUUGUUGUCUGUUUUCUAGGAUUCCUUUCCGUGGAUAUUCCUGACUUUUAUCUUUGCUUCUCUUCUAUUGAUGUCUUUUCUUGAUAUGAAUUUCUUCUUUUCAUCCUCCAAUGUCGAUUGCCUGCUUUUCCAACUUUUAGGUGCUCAUCCAGGUUCUUAGAUCCAUUAAACAGUUUGAUGAUCCUUGGAAGGAAGGUACUGGGUUAUCAACUAAUUCCAAGUUGGAAUUCUGUGAAGGACUUUUGCCAUGCUGUAGUGAUAUAUAGAAGAGGCAAACAUUUUCACCUUUUGAGAGUUGUAUGUUGAGUAUUUGCAAUCUGUUAACCUACCAAAACUACAGUUUUCAUGUCUUAGGACAAUAGAGAGCUGGAUACUUGUUUUAACAUUUAUUAUAGUGUCAUGUAUCUGUUUGGAAAUUUAGUAAAGUGGUUCUUCUUUCAGUAUGACUUGAGGCCCCUAAAUCAUGAUUUAAAUUGUUGGUCGGAGGACUGAUGUUUACCUAUUGAUAUUAAUCACUGGUACAGAAGCAUAGAACUCAGUAUAUCUGAAUCAUUUAUAUUUAUUAUAUUGUUUUUUCCGGUGACAUGCAUGGCACAGGUCGCUCUUGGUAUCUUGUUACUGUACCUCCCUGAUAUUUUUUUUGAAACCAGUAUUGAACUGCUAUCGAAAACCAUACCCUAAAUAAUUGCAUGAUGACAGACACUUCAUGGGUAGAAUAUUUAGCUAAGGAGAAACCGAAGCAGUAUCCUUUGUUUACAGAGUCUUACGCAUGCAGGGCAGAACCACAAUCUUCUGUGGCAAGUGAGUCCCUUCUGUAUCUUAUUUCGUUGAUCUCUGAAGUUGACUGCAUACAUGGAGGAAAGCCAAUGAUUUCUUAACAGUGAUGCCGUCAUCAUGGUCGUGAUACUGAGAUGGUGCUCAUCAGCGGUGCGCAGACGGUUUUGUUUAUGAGUUUUGGUUACAUGCAGGUCAUGGAAGCAUUAUAGCAUUUUUUGGUGAUGAUGUGGAUUCUACGAUCUGCUACCUGUUGGAGAUGGAAGGCAGCUAAGCUGUGCAUCUCCUGGUGGCAGAAACCGACACAAAGGGAGAGCAGUAGCAGAGUGAGUAUUGGAGGUUUGUCACGUUCAUACUGGUCCAUGGUCAGAAUGGUAUGGAUUCGACCUAUUUUGACAUAGGGGAGGGGGGAAUACGUCCGAAGAAGAAGAGGAAGAAGUGGAAGGAAAAAAAAAUAAAUAAAGGAAAGAAGCAGUACCGGAGCGGACGGUCGCAUGGCGAGUUGGUCUGAUUGGCAGUCAGACCGGUAAAUAUUGAUCCUCAACGACCGAAUCAAUUGGUUUGUUAUGGGUCUGUUUUAUAUCUUACGUAACCAAAGCUACUCAUCCUGAUGCGUGUUAAAAAAAAAGCUUAGUGAGUGCAUAAUAAUUCUGUCGACUGAUGAUUCGCAUAAGCAUCCUGCCACCCAUCCGGAUGUCUGGGUGCAGGAGAAAUGCUAUCGUUGAAGAAGGAUCCAAGUCCAGACUAUUAUAACAGUGGUUCUUCCGAUAAAAUAAUAUAUUGCUAAUUCCACA
This is a long non-coding RNA of Musa acuminata subsp. malaccensis (wild Malaysian banana), 2446 nucleotides long. RefSeq lists it as uncharacterized. NCBI's taxonomy places the organism in Eukaryota, Viridiplantae, Streptophyta, Magnoliopsida, Zingiberales, Musaceae. The record is from RefSeq and is a predicted model, not a curated record.